AGUGAACGCUGGCGGUAGGCCUAACACAUGCAAGUCGAACGGCAGCACAGUAAGAGCUUGCUCUUACGGGUGGCGAGUGGCGGACGGGUGAGGAAUACAUCGGAAUCUACUUUUUCGUGGGGGAUAACGUAGGGAAACUUACGCUAAUACCGCAUACGACCUACGGGUGAAAGCAGGGGAUCUUCGGACCUUGCGCGAUUGAAUGAGCCGAUGUCGGAUUAGCUAGUUGGCGGGGUAAAGGCCCACCAAGGCGACGAUCCGUAGCUGGUCUGAGAGGAUGAUCCGCCACACUGGAACUGAGACACGGUCCAGACUCCUACGGGAGGCAGCAGGGGGGAAUAUUGGACAAUGGGCGCAAGCCUGAUCCAGCCAUACCGGGUGGGUGAAGAAGGCCUUCGGGUUGUAAAGCCCUUUUGUUGGGAAAGAAAAGCAGCAGGUUAAUACCCCGCUGUUCUGACGGUACCCAAAGAAUAAGCACCGGCUAACUUCGU
RNAcentral lists this ribosomal RNA (491 nucleotides) under uncultured bacterium. RNAcentral's name for it is "partial 16S ribosomal RNA". It matches the Rfam family "Bacterial small subunit ribosomal RNA", at positions 29 to 506 of the family's 1533-position model. The record is from RNAcentral.